CACUAUACACGUGUUUUAACACUUUCACUCAUCGCGCCACGAUUGACGUAGAUUUGUAUUGCACUGCAGCCACUGCAGUAUCAAUUUUACUUAAUGAAAAAACUUUUUAAUAAUUACAUGAAACCUUUGUUGAAAUCUAACUCUUGGUUAGUAUUCAGUCAACAAUGAGGAUUCAUUACCUCGCAAAAAUUCGUUACUCACCUUGAGGAAAACUCACUAAAAUUUCAUGAAAUCAAAACCGACGAUCAAAUUCCAUAAAAUUUUACGCUCGAAAGUUGAAAAUUGAAAAAAAAACAAU
This 298-nucleotide unclassified non-coding RNA is filed under the name Venturia canescens. RNAcentral describes it as "dPH4 homolog, transcript variant X1". Lineage: Eukaryota; Metazoa; Arthropoda; Insecta; Hymenoptera; Ichneumonidae. The record is from RNAcentral.